RNAcentral lists this transfer RNA (70 nucleotides) under Mactra cumingii. RNAcentral's name for it is "tRNA-Gln". Lineage: Eukaryota; Metazoa; Mollusca; Bivalvia; Venerida; Mactridae. The record is from RNAcentral.
AGUGAAGAGGUGUAGAUGUGGCACGGAGGGUUUUGGUCUUUCAGGAGUCUUAUCAAUAAGACCUUUACUA